Molecule: non-coding RNA, 22 nt
Filed under: Arabidopsis thaliana (thale cress)
Lineage: Eukaryota; Viridiplantae; Streptophyta; Magnoliopsida; Brassicales; Brassicaceae
Source: RNAcentral
UCUAGGGGCUCAUAAUAAUGUU